GACGAACGCUGGCGGCGUGCUUAACACAUGCAAGUCGAGCGGUAAGGCCCUUCGGGGUACACGAGCGGCGAACGGGUGAGUAACACGUGGGUGAUCUGCCCUGCACUUCGGGAUAAGCCUGGGAAACUGGGUCUAAUACCGGAUAUGACCUUCGGCUGCAUGGCUGAGGGUGGAAAGGUUUACUGGUGCAGGAUGGGCCCGCGGCCUAUCAGCUUGUUGGUGGGGUAAUGGCCUACCAAGGCGACGACGGGUAGCCGACCUGAGAGGGUGACCGGCCACACUGGGACUGAGACACGGCCCAGACUCCUACGGGAGGCAGCAGUGGGGAAUAUUGCACAAUGGGCGAAAGCCUGAUGCAGCGACGCCGCGUGAGGGAUGACGGCCUUCGGGUUGUAAACCUCUUUCAGCAGGGACGAAGCGAAAGUGACGGUACCUGUAGAAGAAGCACCGGCCAACUACGUGCCAGCAGCCGCGGUAAUACGUAGGGUGCAAGCGUUGUCCGGAAUUACUGGGCGUAAAGAGCUCGUAGGCGGUUUGUCGCGUCGUCUGUGAAAACUCGAGGCUCAACCUCGAGCUUGCAGGCGAUACGG
Molecule: ribosomal RNA, 590 nt
Filed under: Rhodococcus wratislaviensis
Lineage: Bacteria; Bacillati; Actinomycetota; Actinomycetes; Mycobacteriales; Nocardiaceae
Description: bacterial SSU rRNA
Rfam family: Bacterial small subunit ribosomal RNA
Source: RNAcentral